This is a long non-coding RNA of Suricata suricatta (meerkat), 378 nucleotides long. RefSeq lists it as uncharacterized. The record is from RefSeq and is a predicted model, not a curated record. The transcript is spliced from 3 exons. NCBI's taxonomy places the organism in Eukaryota, Metazoa, Chordata, Mammalia, Carnivora, Herpestidae.
UGCCUGCCCAAAGGAAGGUGCUUUUUUUCCUAAUUUGCACAAAAGGUGCCAUUUGUUGCAAAACUCACAUACCUAUGGGCUGCCUGUGACUAUUUAAUUCAACCUGGGAGAAGUCUUUUAAAAAUGCAUACAAAGUCUCCGUGUAGGCAGGCUGUAGCCAGCUGUCCUGUAUGGAGUCAGUCAGUGUGUGACUACUGAAUGAAAAUAAGCCGAAGACAAACACAGUCCAUUCUUUGAUUCAGACCAACACCUUCUGCUAAACAGUGCUGUCUUCAGAUGCUGGCACCAAACAAGUGUGAGCUGUUUCUGGAGCCCCUUGUGCACUGGUCACACUUUCAAACUCAGCAGACCGAUCUACUGAAUGUAUGAAAUAAUUAG